UUUAAGCAACAAUGAGUUUUUCGUCUAACUUUAGUCGUCCAUCUUAUUUAAAAAUAUUUUAUAAUUAGUAUUUUUAUUAUUAUGAGAUGAUGAAAUAUGAAUAGUACCUGUGACUUAUAUUUUUAAUUUUUUUUCAAUUUUUUUAAUUAAGACAUAUAAUUAAAAUUAAGCAUGGAAAAUCAUGUAGAAGUACUCGAU
This is a non-coding RNA of Oryza nivara, 198 nucleotides long. NCBI's taxonomy places the organism in Eukaryota, Viridiplantae, Streptophyta, Magnoliopsida, Poales, Poaceae. The record is from Rfam.